Molecule: long non-coding RNA, 482 nt
Filed under: Homo sapiens (human)
Lineage: Eukaryota; Metazoa; Chordata; Mammalia; Primates; Hominidae
Description: long non-coding RNA NONHSAT160461.1
Source: RNAcentral
GCCGGCCACGUCCCCGCGCCGGGCCUCAGGCUCCUUCCUACUGUCCGAGGGCCACCAGGCCGCCGGGGGCCUGCUGCGCCCGGAUGCGUCUGUUACUAGAGUGGAGAGUCUACCUUCGUCUCACAUGUGCCACAAAGGAUGGCAUGGCCCGGGAGUGCCCCACCACGUGGCUUUCACCCCCUGCAAAGCCAGACUUCGCCCAGCGACACAGUGUCAAGCCCACAGCUCUCCAAGGAGGAAGAUGGUCCAGGCUGGGAGCAUCCCCUUAGCAGCAGCCUCUGGAAGGAGAAGGUCCUUGUCUGUUCCAAGGCAAAGAACUGGACAAGAAGGAGGAGGUUCAUUCAGUACAUUGAGUCUGAUCCUCCCUGCUGUAGCUGGAGCACGGUCCCUGAAGCUGGCUGAAGUGCUAAAGCAGGGGCUAGCAAACUGUGGCCGAAUCCCACCUGCUGCCUGUUUGUAUAAAUAAAGUUUUAUUGGGACAC